AAAACGACUCUCGGCAACGGAUAUCUCGGCUCUCGCAUCAAUGAAGAACGUASCGAAAUGCGAUACUUGGUGUGAAUUGCAAAAUCCCGUGAACCAUCGAGUCUUUGAACGCAAGUUGCGCCCUAAGCCAUUUUGGCCGAGGGCACGUCUGCCUGGGCGUCAAUC
Molecule: ribosomal RNA, 165 nt
Filed under: Neoholmgrenia andina
Lineage: Eukaryota; Viridiplantae; Streptophyta; Magnoliopsida; Myrtales; Onagraceae
Description: 5.8S ribosomal RNA
Rfam family: 5.8S ribosomal RNA
About the family: 5.8S ribosomal RNA (5.8S rRNA) is a component of the large subunit of the eukaryotic ribosome. It is transcribed by RNA polymerase I as part of the 45S precursor that also contains 18S and 28S rRNA.
Source: RNAcentral